GUGGAAGCAGGAACAGAAAAAGGGGGGAAGGAGGGGGGGAAGUUGAUAUAACUUCCUCUCACAAUCAAAUGAGGAAACAAAUUGCAAAAUAUCAGUGAAGGCUAUAUAUGUUACUUUGGAUUAUGCAAGAAUUCAAUGUCUGUCACAAUUAGGGAAGUUAUGUGGGAGGAAGCACAGCCUACAGGCCCGAAUAUGUGGUCGCAGUGCGGGAUGAGCUUCCUCCUGGCCGUGGUGGCCGACUGGUGGUCGGCGUAGUUCACCAGGCAGCACUUCUUGGCCGGCGGCCCCGCGGGUCCGAAGAACACGACGCUGCUGACGCCCGGGGUGACCUCCCUCAGCACCUGCGUCGCACCACGGAUUACCACGGCAGUUGCAGUCAUUUCCUCUACCUUGUACUACCGUAGUUAAAAGUGAUAGUGUCAAAAAUUGUUUUAAAACAUAAAACAAACUUUAUAUAAAAAAAUUAUAAUAUUUUAAAACUAACUUAAAAUUAUGCCUUUUAAAGGAAUAAUUAAUUUUGUUUUCUUCCACCGUUUUAUUUCACCCCUUAAAUAAAUAAAUGGUUGCAUAAAAAAUUGUU
Molecule: long non-coding RNA, 580 nt
Organism: Bacillus rossius redtenbacheri
Lineage: Eukaryota; Metazoa; Arthropoda; Insecta; Phasmatodea; Bacillidae
Exons: 3
Source: RefSeq, a predicted model, not a curated record